Long non-coding RNA from Carassius gibelio (silver crucian carp), 2098 nucleotides. RefSeq lists it as uncharacterized. Lineage: Eukaryota; Metazoa; Chordata; Actinopteri; Cypriniformes; Cyprinidae. The record is from RefSeq and is a predicted model, not a curated record. The transcript is spliced from 4 exons.
UAUGGUGUCCCAUACUCGGAAUUUGUGCUCUGCAUUUAACCCAUCCAUGUGCACACACUCAGCAGCGAGUAAUGAAACACACACACUCGGAGCAGUGUGCAGCCAUUUUUGCUGCAUCACCCGGGGAGCAGUUAAGGGCUCAUUGCACCUCAGUCAUGGUAUUGAUGGUGGAAGAGAGUGCUGUACAUUCAUUCCCCCCACCUAUCGAGUCAAAAUAGGGCCAUAUAUAUCUGCAAAAUAAAACAAUGUUUUGCAAACAAAAAAUAUGUUUUGCAAAUAAAAAAAAUAUGUUUUGCAAAUAAAAAUAGCGUAUUGAGAAAAAAAUUGCUUUUUUGCAAGUAAAAAAAAAUAAUUGCAAAAAAAAAAGUUUACCACAAGAGAAAAAAUAAAGUUUAGCAAAGUAAAACUUCAACAGCAAUGACUUUGCAACACAUUUCCCUUUGCGCUGCUCCUUUAAAUCCGCGUUUCAGUCAUCCGUGCCUCUGCGGUGCAAGCUUUCCUUUGCGCUUCAUUUUUUCUUUGCGCCUCGCUUUGUGUCACUGAUUUGACGUGGGGGAGGGGUCAAGAGGUUGAGGUGUGUACAAGGGAUGAAGGCGCAUCCUUCUCGUUACGUCAUCAGCGCGAGCCCCAGACAAGGGGCAAGGAACUCGACCGGAAGUUGAAGUCGGGUGGGGGCUGCCAUCUUUUAGCAGAACUUCACUUGCGUUAGCAUUCCCAUUGACUCCCAUUCAUUUUGGCGUCACUUUGACAGCGAAUAACUUUACAUCUGAGGCGUUUAAAGACUCUGUUUGUCCAUUAUUUAUUUCUAAAGAUACACGAAAAUGUAUAAUGGGCUCCAUUACCUUCUAUGUUACAUUAUGGCCCCGUAUAAACAGUUUUUGUAAAAAAUAGGCUAACGAUUGCGUCAUAACCACUCGGCUCUCUGUCGCAUUACCGUACAGACAGGUGGAGAAGCUCGCAGGCAAUUAACUUAAUAUGGCGUACUGCCGUUACAUUUUAAAAUACUAUACAAAAUAAUUAAUCAGAAUACUUACUCCUGCUCACUCACGCCAAAGAAAUCCCUGCUCAAGCUCGCCGUCUCUGCAAGAUUAACGAUGACAGUUUGCACUCACAGCUACUAGAAGAUUUACAUCUGUCAGACAGGUUGCUGACGUCAUCAAGCUUCGUUUGAGUCUGCGCGUCAGAAACGGAAGUGCUAAAAAACGCUAAAACUGGGCUUCAUUUGUCUCAAUUGAGUUGCAAUGGGGUCGCUGUGUCCAUUUCUUUUACUGUCUAUGGCCCCAGACCGAGUGGAUCGAUCGAAAUGGAGGAGCAGAGACAUGCGGGUGAUGGAUCACAGGUGGAGGAAGAAGAAACUGAUCUCUCUGCAUGGUAUGAACAAAUUAUUAACUGUGGUUUUAUUGGGGCCGUUAAACCUGAGAACAAAGAGGCCAUAAUAAGAUCAAUUGUGCUUCAUGCAACUCUACGUUUGGUCCCUUUGUUGAAGCAAAUCUGAAAAGGUCUUGAAGUCUACAAUCCUGGAAAACCAUUCAGGACUUUGCCACCAGUUCUUUUUCCCUGAUGUGGUGGAUGAUGAUGAUGAUAAGGCUGAUGCAGACUUCAUCAUGCAGAACAUUCUUCCGAAAAUGUCGGAGAAGGGAUCAGUACAAGAGACUUAUGAAACCGCUAUAAUCAACUUUCUGCAAGACUUUCUCCAAGAAAUUGAAAGCUGUGUUAUGUAUGAACUGACAGAGUUGAUUUAGUAUAAAUAUUGUAAAAAAAAAAACUACAAAUUAAUGUUAAAAUGUAAUUGAUUUAAUUCAGACAAUAUCAACCCCAACCAAGCCAUUCAAUUUGACAAUGGUUUAAACUGAAUUUAAAAUUAUACUAAAGGUAUGGAAUUGUACAUGUUCAGGAAAAUAAAAACUUUUAUACAUUGGUAAAUGUUCUUAUGGUUUUGAAAUUUACUGUGUAUGUGUAGAGAACACAACGUGUUACAUAAUGUAAAAUUGUAUAUCUUAAUGAAUGUGUUAAGAGAACACAAGUUGUUAUACUAGCCAUUUUCUGCUUUAAAUAUAGCCAAUACAGAAAAUAAAACAAGCAUGCAAUGUCACCUUAA